GCUGGCGGCAGGCUUAACACAUGCAAGUCGAGCGGUCGUAGCAAUACGGCAGCGGCAGACGGGAGAGUAACACGUGGGAACGUACCCUUCGGUUCGGAACAACCCAGGGAAACUUGGGCUAAUACCGGAUACGUCCGUAAGGAGAAAGAUUCAUCGCCGAAGGAUCGGCCCGCGUCUGAUUAGCUUGUUGGUGAGGUAACGGCUCACCAAGGCGACGAUCAGUAGCUGGUCUGAGAGGAUGAUCAGCCUCACUGGGACUGAGACACGGCCCAGACUCCUACGGGAGGCAGCAGUGGGGAAUAUUGGACAAUGGGCGCAAGCCUGAUCCAGCCAUGCCGCGUGGGUGAUGAAGGCCCUAGGGUUGUAAAGCCCUUUCGGCGGGGAAGAUAAUGACGGUACCCGCAGAAGAAGCCCCGGCUAACUUCGUGCCAGCAGCC
RNAcentral lists this ribosomal RNA (437 nucleotides) under uncultured soil bacterium. RNAcentral's name for it is "bacterial SSU rRNA". It matches the Rfam family "Bacterial small subunit ribosomal RNA", at positions 35 to 516 of the family's 1533-position model. The record is from RNAcentral.